UGCAGUCGAACGCUUCUUUUUCCACCGGAGCUUGCUCCACCGGAAAAAGAGGAGUGGCGAACGGGUGAGUAACACGUGGGUAACCUGCCCAUCAGAAGGGGAUAACACUUGGAAACAGGUGCUAAUACCGUAUAACAAUCGAAACCGCAUGGUUUUGAUUUGAAAGGCGCUUUCGGGUGUCGCUGAUGGAUGGACCCGCGGUGCAUUAGCUAGUUGGUGAGGUAACGGCUCACCAAGGCGACGAUGCAUAGCCGACCUGAGAGGGUGAUCGGCCACAUUGGGACUGAGACACGGCCCAAACUCCUACGGGAGGCAGCAGUAGGGAAUCUUCGGCAAUGGACGAAAGUCUGACCGAGCAACGCCGCGUGAGUGAAGAAGGUUUUCGGAUCGUAAAACUCUGUUGUUAGAGAAGAACAAGGAUGAGAGUAACUGUUCAUCCCUUGACGGUAUCUAACCAGAAAGCCACGGCUAACUACGUGCCAGCAGCCGCGGUAAUACGUAGGUGGCAAGCGUUGUCCGGAUUUAUUGGGCGUAAAGCGAGCGCAGGCGGUUUCUUAAGUCUGAUGUGAAAGCCCCCGGCUCAACCGGGGAGGGUCAUUGGAAACUGGGAGACUUGAGUGCAGAAGAGGAGAGUGGAAUUCCAUGUGUAGCGGUGAAAUGCGUAGAUAUAUGGAGGAACACCAGUGGCGAAGGCGGCUCUCUGGUCUGUAACUGACGCUGAGGCUCGAAAGCGUGGGGAGCAAACAGGAUUAGAUACCCUGGUAGUCCACGCCGUAAACGAUGAGUGCUAAGUGUUGGA
RNAcentral lists this ribosomal RNA (799 nucleotides) under Enterococcus sp. R134-SB-T3P21. RNAcentral describes it as "bacterial SSU rRNA". It matches the Rfam family "Bacterial small subunit ribosomal RNA", at positions 56 to 827 of the family's 1533-position model. Lineage: Bacteria; Bacillati; Bacillota; Bacilli; Lactobacillales; Enterococcaceae. The record is from RNAcentral.